Molecule: ribosomal RNA, 453 nt
Filed under: uncultured Porphyromonadaceae bacterium
Lineage: Bacteria; Pseudomonadati; Bacteroidota; Bacteroidia; Bacteroidales; Porphyromonadaceae
Description: partial 16S ribosomal RNA
Rfam family: Bacterial small subunit ribosomal RNA
Source: RNAcentral
ACGGAAGGCAGCAGUGAGGAAUAUUGGUCAAUGGGCGGAAGCCUGAACCAGCCAAGUCGCGUGAAGGAUGAAGGUAUUAUGUAUUGUAAACUUCUUUAGUCGCAGGGAAAUAAGGCGGACGCGUCCGCUGAUGCUAGUAUGCGAAGAAUAAGGAUCGGCUAACUCCGUGCCAGCAGCCGCGGUAAUACGGAGGAUCCGAGCGUUAUCCGGAUUUAUUGGGUUUAAAGGGUGCGCAGGCGGUCUUUUAAGUCAGUGGUCAAAUCGUGGGGCUCAACCCCAUCCCGCCAUUGAUACUGGAGGACUUGAUUGCGGUCGAGGUUGGCGGAAUUCGUCGUGUAGCGGUGAAAUGCAUAGAUAUGACGAAGAACACCGAUUGCGUAGGCAGCUGACCAGUCCGUAAAUGACGCUCAUGCACGAAAGUGCGGGGAUCGAACAGGAUUAGAUACCCUGGUA